GAUGAACGCUGGCGGCGUGCCUAAUACAUGCAAGUCGAGCGAACGGACGAGAAGCUUGCUUCUCUGAUGUUAGCGGCGGACGGGUGAGUAACACGUGGAUAACCUACCUAUAAGACUGGGAUAACUUCGGGAAGCCGGAGCUAAUACCGGAUAAUAUUUUGAACCGCAUGGUUCAAAAGUGAAAGACGGUCUUGCUGUCACUUAUAGAUGGAUCCGCGCUGCAUUAGCUAGUUGGUAAGGUAACGGCUUACCAAGGCAACGAUGCAUAGCCGACCUGAGAGGUGGGGCGGCAACCGGGGAAUGGGAACACGGCCCAGCCCCCUAGGGGAGGCAGAAGUAGGAAAUCUUCCGAAAGGGGCGAAACCCGGACGGAGAAACGCGGCGGGAGUAAUGAAGGUCUCCGAAUCGAAAAACUUUUUUAUGAGGGAAGAAAAUUUGUGAAAGUAACGUUGCACAUCUUGGCGGUACAUAAUAAGAAGGCCACGGCUAACAAGGGG
Molecule: ribosomal RNA, 497 nt
Filed under: uncultured bacterium
Lineage: Bacteria
Description: partial 16S ribosomal RNA
Rfam family: Bacterial small subunit ribosomal RNA
Source: RNAcentral